This is an RNA transcript of Cryptomeria japonica (Japanese cedar), 438 nucleotides long. RefSeq lists it as uncharacterized. The record is from RefSeq and is a predicted model, not a curated record. The transcript is spliced from 3 exons. Lineage: Eukaryota; Viridiplantae; Streptophyta; Pinopsida; Cupressales; Cupressaceae.
GAAAACCUCUCACCUUCCUCUUAGAUUCAAGAGUUUCAACUCUCUCCACAAGGCUUUUCAAAUCAAUGAGGACUACUUCAAUUUGUGCUUGAGUUUGAAGUUUAUUGUCAAACGAGCGGGGACAUUCACUUAUUGCUAUCCCAAAGAAUGUUCCAGAACUGCAGGUGAGGAAAUAUCAACCAUGUGGACAAGACCUCAACCACACGUGGCUUGAAUGUUGCUGGAUUGUUACUUGUUUUUGUUUCUCUAUUCUAUUUUAAGACAGUUGUUUCAGAAUCAUAUGGUUUGUGGCUUGCGGCCAAACCAGAAACUAUAUUUAAUAUGUUUGUUGGCCAGCGGCCAUAACAAACCUCUACCUUAUUUUGAUAGCAUUCACUGAACUAAUAUGUAUAUAUAUGUGUGUGAUUCCGAGACAGUAAACAAUAGAUAAUAUAUAGA